Non-coding RNA from Acanthosepion pharaonis, 114 nucleotides. The record is from the annotation of a GenBank genome assembly. Lineage: Eukaryota; Metazoa; Mollusca; Cephalopoda; Sepiida; Sepiidae.
UUACGGCUAUAUCACAGUGAAACACCGGUUCCCGUACGAUCACUGAAAUUAAGCAACGUCGAGCUUGGUCAGUACCUAUAUGGGUGACCGCUUGGGAAUACCAGUUACUGUAAG